Long non-coding RNA from Astatotilapia calliptera (eastern happy), 2462 nucleotides. Lineage: Eukaryota; Metazoa; Chordata; Actinopteri; Cichliformes; Cichlidae. The record is from Ensembl.
GUACAGCCAGUGAUACUUUAAAAUAUGUGAUGUUUGCUGAUGAUACAAACUUAGUUUGCUCAGGAAAAGACAUAAAGAAAUUACUGAAAACAGUGGAAACAGAACUCAUGAAGUUAAAUAGAUGGUUUGUGUCACGGUUUGCCGGGGGCAAGCCGUGUGGAGUUGUAGAAAAGGACCCAAAAGGCGGCAGCUCUGGUGCAUGUGAAUAUUUAUUUACCACGGUGGGUACAAAACAGCACUGGUGGAAAAACAAGAAACCGGAAACCUAAACUGGGUAAGCUAAUAACACAAACCAGAAACGAGGAUGCAGGGAGGUCCGGGGAAAUACAUACGGAGAGACGCAGGGAGACCGAGGGGAAACAACACAGACGAACCAGCAAUUACUAUGACAGAAGACACAACUUAAAUACACUCAGAGAACACAGGGAGAUUACAUACAGGUGGGAACACAGCUGGGAGUGAUUAACAUGACGAGACUAGGGAGGCAACUGAAAACACUCACAUAAGACACAGACCUUCACAAUAAAACAGGAACUUACACAAGAAAAGACACAAACUAAGAAACGCGGACUAGAUACAGGAACACACGGGCAGAACAGAGUAAACACUAACCAGAGAAAGAACAGAACCACAAUCACGAAGAGAAAACACAAAACGCUGGGUCAAAAGGACCCAGGAUCAUGACAGUACCCCCCCGUCAAGGGCUGGCCCCAGACAGCCCAACACAAGAACACCAAAGCAAAAAAAAAAAGAAAAGAAAAGAAAAGAAAAAAAAAAAGAAAGAAAACCGCCCAAAGCAGAAAACAACCUGACCAGGGCGGGCGGCGGGGGACUCAGGAAGGAGGGCUCGAGGCAAAACAAAAACAGGAGCACCAGAAGGCCAAAAGACAAAAAAACAAAGAAACAAAACACGAGGCCAAAGACCAAAAGAAAAGAAGCACACCAAAGCACAGGAACACAGAGACCAAAACCAAAAGAAAAAGACCAAUAAAACAAAACACACCAUAGCCCAAGGAAAAUGGAGACCAAAACAGAAAGGUCCAGGGGGCCGGCCAGGGGGCCGACAGCACAGGAGUCCAAGACAAAAGAGUUCAGGGGGCCGACCAUGCGGACGGCAACGGCGUGGAUACAGUUCGGGAGGCCGGCCGUGUGGAUGGCAACGGCGGCGACGUGGAUACAGUUCGGGAGGCCGGCCGUGCGGAAGGCAACGGCGGCCACUCAGGCGAUGGCGGUCCGGGGGCCGGCCGUGCGGAAGGCAGCGGCGGCCACUCAGGCGAAGAGGGUCCGGGGGCCGGCCGUGUGGAAGGCAGCGGUGGCCACUCAGGCGAAGGAGACGACGGAGCAGUUCAGGGGGCCGACCGCGCGGAAGGCAGCGGCGGCGACGAAGGAGACGACGGAGCAGUUCAGGGGGCCGACCGCGCGGAAGGCAGCGGCGGCGCUCCAGCGUCAAGCGUACUGGCCGAGGCCCAGUGGGCACAGGACCAGACGAGGCAGGCGAUGACGGGGCCGGACCAGGCGGGGCUGCAGAGGCUGGACCAGGCGAAGCACAGGCCGGAGCCGGACCAGGCGUGGCUGGACCAGACGAGGACGAAGACUCGGAUGAAGCCGGACCAGGCGAAGCACAGGCGGAGGCUGGACCAGACGAGGCUGAAGGCUCGGAGGCUGGGCCAGGCGAGGCGGAAGACUCGGAGGCUGGGCCAGGCGAGGAUGAUGAUGAAGCUGCAGCCGGCGGCUGGACGGGCUCCUCGGGCCCCCCAGCUGAUGAGGCAGGAAGCUGGACGGGCUCCUCGGGCCCUCCAGUUGACGAGGCAGGAAGCAAGGGCCGGAGUGGUCCCUCGGACCCUCCAGCGGAGACAUGAGACGAAAACUGGAGCGGUCCCUCGGACCCUCCAGCGGAGACAUGAGACGAAAACUGGAGCGGUCCCUCGGACCCUCCAGCGGAGACAUGAGACGAAGGCCGGAGCGGUCCCUCGGACCCUCCAGCGGAGACAGGAGACGAAGGCCAGAGCGGUCCCUCGGACCCUCCAGUGGAGACUAGAGACAAAGGCCGGAGCGGUCCCUCGGACCCUCCAGCGGAGACUAGAGACGAAGGCCGGAGCGGUCCCUCGGACCCUCCAGCAGAAGUCAUCACUAAGCCAGCAGUCAUGGAGUCCUCUGGCAAACACGAAGGCAACUGGCAAUGCACUGAGCACGGGCUCUGCACAGGCAAUGCUGACAUGGCGCAGUUCUCAGUUAGCUGCUUAGACUUCAGGGGUCCAGAAUCAGCCGGGGACUGAGACCUAGCCUCUGGGGAAGCCCUGGAGCGGCAAACUGUGCCAAUGGCGGCUGAACCAUGAAAAGCACCUUGAGGUGAAAUUAGACUUUCUCCCUGCAUGGAGUGAAUGAGUGAAACCGGUGAUACUGGAGCCAGAGCUACGGGUAGCGGGGGCACUGGAGCUACGGGGGCCUGCGCUACAGGCGGC